GUAGAUGACAGGACAGCCUAUUGGCCCUAAUGGAGGUGAGGGUUUACCAGGUAGAUGACAGGACAGCCUAUUGGCCCUAAUGAAGGUGAGGGUUUACCAGGUAGAUGACAGGACAGCCUAUUGGCCCUAAUGAAGGUGAGGGUUUACCAGGUAGAUGACAGGACAGCCUAUUGGCCCUAAUGAAGGCUCAAAGGCUGAACUCCUCAUUGCUAAAAAAAAAAAAAAAAAAACACUUUAUUGAACUGUCACUUUAUUCCCUUUAACAGUGGGCAAAAUGUAUAGCAGUUCUCUAAGAAUGUACCCCUAAAUGAACCUUAUGAAACAAAUGAACCUUGAAUUAUUGAAAUUAGCAUACAUAAGUGACAGUGAAUAUGCUCAGUGUUUUCAUAAACAUCUCUAUUUAUAUGCACAAUAAUGAGGAAGACUGGUGAACAGUUUGGAUGGAACGUUCCACUGCCAUAAUAAAUCCUCAUUUAGAGGAAGAGUUUGGCGCCACCACAUGGCAGUUGAAGGUAGAC
Oncorhynchus tshawytscha (Chinook salmon) is the source of this 518-nucleotide long non-coding RNA. Lineage: Eukaryota; Metazoa; Chordata; Actinopteri; Salmoniformes; Salmonidae. The record is from Ensembl.